AAUUUUCCGCAAUGGGCGAAAGCCUGACGGAGCAACGCCGCGUGAGGGAGGAAGGCCUUAGGGUUGUAAACCUCUUUUCUCUGGGAAGAAGAACUGACGGUACCAGAGGAAUAAGCCUCGGCUAACUCCGUGCCAGCAGCCGCGGUAAGACGGAGGAGGCAAGCGUUAUCCGGAAUUAUUGGGCGUAAAGAGUCCGUAGGCGGCCCGGCAAGUCUGCUGUCAAAGAAUGGAGCUUAACUCCAUAAGGGCAGUGGAAACUGCAGAGCUAGAGUCUAGGAGGGGUAGAGGGAAUUCCCAGUGUAGCGGUGAAAUGCGUAGAGAUUGGGAAGAACACCGGUGGCGAAAGCGCUCUACUGGACUAGAACUGACG
RNAcentral lists this ribosomal RNA (370 nucleotides) under uncultured cyanobacterium. RNAcentral's name for it is "bacterial SSU rRNA". It matches the Rfam family "Bacterial small subunit ribosomal RNA", at positions 360 to 745 of the family's 1533-position model. Lineage: Bacteria; Bacillati; Cyanobacteriota. The record is from RNAcentral.